Molecule: ribosomal RNA, 502 nt
Filed under: uncultured bacterium
Lineage: Bacteria
Description: partial 16S ribosomal RNA
Rfam family: Bacterial small subunit ribosomal RNA
Source: RNAcentral
ACGAACGCUGGCGGCGUGCCUAACACAUGCAAGUCGAACGAGAAAGGGGCUUCGGCUCCGAGUAAAGUGGCGCACGGGUGAGUAACACGUGGGUAACCUGCCUCUAAGAUUGGGAUAACUCGUCGAAAGAUGAGCUAAUACCGAAUAAGACCACAGUUCCCGCGGGAACAGGGGUCAAAGGUAGCCUCUGCUUGCAAGCUAUCACUUAGAGAUGGGCCUGCGCACCAUUAGCUAGUUGGUAGGGUAACGGCCUACCAAGGCAAAGAUGGUUAGCUGGUCUGAGAGGAUGAUCAGCCACACUGGAACUGAGACACGGUCCAGACUCCUACGGGAGGCAGCAGUGGGGAAUAUUGCGCAAUGGGCGAAAGCUUGACGCAGCAACGCCGCGUGAGUGAUGAAGGCCUUCGGGUCGUAAAGCUCUGUCGGCAGGAACGAAUGCUCCUGAGGUUAACAGCCUCGGGAGGUGACGGUACCUUCAAAGGAAGCACCGGCUAACUCUGUG